RNAcentral lists this ribosomal RNA (408 nucleotides) under uncultured soil bacterium. RNAcentral's name for it is "bacterial SSU rRNA". It matches the Rfam family "Bacterial small subunit ribosomal RNA", at positions 509 to 916 of the family's 1533-position model. The record is from RNAcentral.
CAGCAGCCGCGGUAAUUCGGAGGGUGCAAGCGUUAAUCGGAAUUACUGGGCGUAAAGCGCACGCAGGCGGUUUGUUAAGUCAGAUGUGAAAUCCCCGCGCUUAACGUGGGAACUGCAUUUGAAACUGGCAAGCUAGAGUCUUGUAGAGGGGGGUAGAAUUCCAGGUGUAGCGGUGAAAUGCGUAGAGAUCUGGAGGAAUACCGGUGGCGAAGGCGGCCCCCUGGACAAAGACUGACGCUCAGGUGCGAAAGCGUGGGGAGCAAACAGGAUUAGAUACCCUGGUAGUCCACGCUGUAAACGAUGUCGACUUGGAGGUUGUGCCCUUGAGGCGUGGCUUCCGGAGCUAACGCGUUAAGUCGACCGCCUGGGGAGUACGGCCGCAAGGUUAAAACUCAAAUGAAUUGACGG